This 597-nucleotide ribosomal RNA is filed under the name Campylobacter coli. RNAcentral describes it as "bacterial LSU rRNA". It matches the Rfam family "Bacterial large subunit ribosomal RNA", at positions 1971 to 2567 of the family's 2925-position model. The record is from RNAcentral. Lineage: Bacteria; Pseudomonadati; Campylobacterota; Epsilonproteobacteria; Campylobacterales; Campylobacteraceae.
GUCGGUUAAAUACCGACCUGCAUGAAUGGCGUAACGAGAUGGGAGCUGUCUCAAAGAGGGAUCCAGUGAAAUUGUAGUGGAGGUGAAAAUUCCUCCUACCCGCGGCAAGACGGAGAGACCCCGUGGACCUUUACUAUAGCUUGACACUGCUAUUUGGAUAAGAAUGUGCAGGAUAGGUGGGAGGCUUUGAGUAUAUGACGCCAGUUGUAUAUGAGCCAUUGUUGAGAUACCACUCUUUCUUAUUUGGGUAGCUAACCAGCUUGAGUUAUCCUCAAGUGGGACAAUGUCUGGUGGGUAGUUUGACUGGGGCGGUCGCCUCCCAAAUAAUAACGGAGGCUUACAAAGGUUGGCUCAGAACGGUUGGAAAUCGUUCGUAGAGUAUAAAGGUAUAAGCCAGCUUAACUGCAAGACAUACAAGUCAAGCAGAGACGAAAGUCGGUCUUAGUGAUCCGGUGGUUCUGUGUGGAAGGGCCAUCGCUCAAAGGAUAAAAGGUACCCCGGGGAUAACAGGCUGAUCUCCCCCAAGAGCUCACAUCGACGGGGAGGUUUGGCACCUCGAUGUCGGCUCAUCGCAUCCUGGGGCUGGAGCAGGUCCCA